RNAcentral lists this ribosomal RNA (594 nucleotides) under uncultured bacterium. Its description in RNAcentral is "bacterial SSU rRNA". It matches the Rfam family "Bacterial small subunit ribosomal RNA", at positions 14 to 602 of the family's 1533-position model. The record is from RNAcentral.
UGAUCAUGGCUCAGAUUGAACGCUGGCGGCAGGCUUAACACAUGCAAGUCGAGCGGGCGAGGUUGCUUCGGUAACUGAGCUAGCGGCGGACGGGUGAGUAAUGCUUAGGAAUCUGCCUAUUAGUGGGGGACAACGUUCCGAAAGGGACGCUAAUACCGCAUACGUCCUACGGGAGAAAGCAGGGGAUCUUCGGACCUUGCGCUAAUAGAUGAGCCUAAGUCGGAUUAGCUAGUUGGUGGGGUAAAGGCUUACCAAGGCGACGAUCUGUAGCGGGUCUGAGAGGAUGAUCCGCCACACUGAGACUGAGACACGGCCCAGACUCCUACGGGAGGCAGCAGUGGGGAAUAUUGGACAAUGGGGGGAACCCUGAUCCAGCCAUGCCGCGUGUGUGAAGAAGGCCUUUUGGUUGUAAAGCACUUUAAGCGAGGAGGAGGCUUACCUGGUUAAUACCUGGGAUAAGUGGACGUUACUCGCAGAAUAAGCACCGGCUAACUCUGUGCCAGCAGCCGCGGUAAUACAGAGGGUGCAAGCGUUAAUCGGAUUUACUGGGCGUAAAGCGCGCGUAGGUGGCUAAUUAAGUCAAAUGUGAAAUCC